RNAcentral lists this unclassified non-coding RNA (832 nucleotides) under Hevea brasiliensis (rubber tree). The record is from RNAcentral. Lineage: Eukaryota; Viridiplantae; Streptophyta; Magnoliopsida; Malpighiales; Euphorbiaceae.
GCAGAACAGUCAUAUCUUCACAAUGGCAUUCAAGCAUUGGCCCAAGCCUAGAAUCCACAUUUUACUACUGAUCUAUGGAAGUGACAUGGAGGACUAGUAUGAAAUUCGGUACAAGGAAUUGGAUUAAAAUUUGUCCAAAGCAAUUGGAAUGGACGCCAUUUGGUUAGCAGUCAUAAAAAAGGGGAAAGGGAAUAGAAAUCUCAUUCACAUUCCCGAUUCCUAAUACUUGACAAUCAAGUAGGAAGAAAUUAAGGCUUAUCUAUUUGUGAGGUAUUGAUUCUAUUCUUUUUUGAGUAAUCAAACACAAGAAAAAGAAAUGAAAGUUUCCUAUUCCUGAUCUUUCAUUCCUGGUAACUAAACAGCACCUCAGUGUCUCAUGACAGAAGACAGAUCAAGGUUUCUGGGUCACUAUUGGGCAUCGAUGCCUGAAGCUUUUGUCUCAAGCUAAAAAGCAGACUUUCUCAAAAUAUUCCAAGUAAAAAAGAAAUGACCAAAUGAACGAGCUAGACGAGUCAUAUUUUCUGUUAUCACCGAACUGAUAUUCAGUAAAAAGGAUAUCAGGGACCAGGGGCAGUCCUACAUUAUUGGCUGGAGGGCCACUGCCCCCUCCAAAGCUGAAAAAUUGCACAGAGUAAUAUUUAUUUGAUAUUAGAAUAGCCCCCCUCCAAAAAUCAUUUCUUGGCCCCUCCAAGAGUGGACUCUCUAAAAGACAUGAGUUGGCAAGAAAGGGCUCAGUAAAUUUAAAUUUUCAACUCCAUUACUUAACAUAAUAAAUUAGAGAAAGCAACAUUCCAUUAUUUAACACAAUAAAUCAGAGAAAGCAACAUUCUUU